AAAAGAGAGAAGAGAUAAUAAUUCCGGAAGGAGCUUUGGUGGACAACCAUGGUUAGCAAGUAUCACUUGAAUGACGAUUCAUGAAAGAAAGUGUGUCAGAGACAGCGUUCAAAAACCUAGGAUCACCUUCAGCAUAAUGAUAUAUACAAAUAAAACUUUUUUGAAGAGCUACAUUGAUAGAUCUGCUGCCUAGAAUGAAUAAGGGAGAAGAGUAUUAUUGGGAAGUUAACAGCAAUGAAGAAAAACAACAAUAAAGAGAAGAAAGGUUUUAAUUGUGCCCCAGGAGCCAGCUGCUAUGACUACACUAUCAUCUUGAGCUUCUAACCUCCACUAUUAUUACUACUAAUAUCUUGCCUGUUGCAGAAAGAUGGAUAAGGUAUGGUGAUCCCAAAGUCCCAGAAGCACUCCCUGAUUUGGAUUUCUCAUCUCCUGACAUCAUAUGCAAUCUUUCCAUCUGCUGUGAUCCUCAUUUAAAUCUGCUGUGGUGCUUCAGACUCAAGAGUUUAUGAGAUGCAGGAGCACUGUGAAGAAUUUCUCUAUGCCUUGCACUGAAAAUUUAACUGCAUUUAUUUAACAGUUAAGGUUUUGAAAAACUCUAGCAAGACUUGGUGCUCUCUCCUUUACAUGAAUGGUUGACUGAUGAGCUUCUCAUUUUAGAGCCCUAUGAAAAGCUAUGGAAAUAGAUUCCUUUUCCUUUUUUUAAGUGAGUUUUCAGGAUUAUUAACUCUGCCUAGUAAAUGUUUACACUCUCAGGACUUCUUAACCAAAUAAUGGCAAAGAGACUGUCCCUUGCAGUGAGUGAAGAUUUGUCAUUUGUUAAACAAACAACAACAAAAAAAAAAAAACCAAAAAAAAAAAAGGUAACUUGCUAGGCCUUCUAUAUUGUGAAAAGAAAUGUAUUAAAUCUUGCUGACAUAAGGAAGCUAA
This is a long non-coding RNA of Sarcophilus harrisii (Tasmanian devil), 927 nucleotides long. RefSeq lists it as uncharacterized. The transcript has 6 exons. The record is from RefSeq and is a predicted model, not a curated record. Lineage: Eukaryota; Metazoa; Chordata; Mammalia; Dasyuromorphia; Dasyuridae.